RNAcentral lists this ribosomal RNA (803 nucleotides) under uncultured archaeon. RNAcentral's name for it is "bacterial SSU rRNA". It matches the Rfam family "Bacterial small subunit ribosomal RNA", at positions 102 to 924 of the family's 1533-position model. The record is from RNAcentral.
ACUGCUCAGUAACACGUGAGUGACCUGUCCAGUUGUGGGGGAUAGCCCCUCGAAAGAGUGGCUAAUACCGCAUAUGGUCGCUGGUUCGGUCCGGCGACUAAAGCCGCAAGGCGCUACAGGAUGGGCUUGCGUCCGAUUAGCUAGUUGGUGGGGUAACGGCCUACCAAGGCGAUGAUCGGUAGCUGGUCUGAGAGGAUGAUCAGCCAGACUGGGACUGCGACACGGCCCAGACUCCUACGGGAGGCAGCAGUUAGGGAUUUUGCGCAAUGGCCGAAAGGCUGACGCAGCAACGCCGCGUGGGGGAUGAAGGUCUUCGGAUCGUAAACCCCUUUUGCACGGGAAGAUAAUGACGGUACCGUGCGAAUAAGCCCCGGUUAACUACGUGCCAGCAGCCGCGGUAAUACGUAGGGGGCGAGCGUUGUCCGGAUUUACUGGGCGUAAAGAGCGCGUAGGCGGCCAGCCAAGUCGUGCGUGAAAUACCUCGGCUCAACCGGGGGGAGUAGUGCGAUACUGGAGGGCUCGAGGCCGGAAGGGGGAAGCGGAAUUCCCGGUGUAGUGGUGGAAUGCGUAGAUAUCGGGAGGAACACCAGUGGCGAAGGCGGCUUCCUGGACCGGUCCUGACGCUGAGGCGCGAAAGCGUGGGGAGCGAACUGAAUUAGAUACUCAGGUAGUCCACGCUGUAAACGAUGGGUGCUAGGUGUCGGGGGUAUCGACCCCCCCGGUGCCGGAGCUAACGCAUUAAGCACCCCGCCUGGGGAGUACGGCCGCAAGGCUAAAACUCAAAGGAAUUGGCGGGGGAGCAC